GACGCUGAGGCACGAAGGCCAGGGUAGCGAAAGGGAUUAGAUACCCCUGUAGUCCUGGCAGUAAACGGUGUGCGCUUGGUGUGAGGGGAUUCGACCCCCCUUGUGCCGGAGCUAACGCGUUAAGCGCACCGCCUGGGAAGUACGGCCGCAAGGCUAAAACUCAAAGAAAUUGACGGGGACCCGCACAAGCGGUGGAGUAUGUGGCUUAAUUCGAUGCAACGCGAAGAACCUUACCAAGGCUUGACAUGCAUCUCUAAGCGCGUGAAAGCGCGUGACCCUUCGGGGGAUUUGCACAGGUGCUGCAUGGCCGUCGUCAGCUCGUGUCGUGAGAUGUUGGGUUAAGUCUCGCAACGAGCGCAACCCUUGUGACUAGUUGCCAGCACGUCAUGGUGGGAACUCUAGUCAGACUGCCCAGAUCAACUGGGAGGAAGGUGGGGACGACGUCAGGUCAGUAUGGCCCUUACGCCUUGGGCUGCACACGUACUACAAUGCCCAGCACAAUGAGAACCGAGACCGCGAGGUGGAGGAAAUCUGCAAAACUGGGCCCAGUUCGGAUUGGAGGCUGCAACUCGCCUCCAUGAAGCCGGAAUCGCUAGUAAUGACGCAUCAGCUACGGCGUCGUGAAUACGUUCCCGGGUCUUGUACACACCGCCCGUCACAUCAUGGAAGCCGGUCGCACCCGAAGUGCCUGAGCCAACC
RNAcentral lists this ribosomal RNA (699 nucleotides) under uncultured Verrucomicrobium sp. RNAcentral describes it as "bacterial SSU rRNA". It matches the Rfam family "Bacterial small subunit ribosomal RNA", at positions 742 to 1440 of the family's 1533-position model. Lineage: Bacteria; Pseudomonadati; Verrucomicrobiota; Verrucomicrobiia; Verrucomicrobiales; Verrucomicrobiaceae. The record is from RNAcentral.